GCUAGUUUGUGCCAAGUCUGGUUAUUAUUCUUCUUGCGAAUUAUGCAAUCGGUUUUCUACCAAAUUUUAAUCUACCAUUGUUUGAACAACACUUGAAAGUUUUUCAUGCACUGCGAUCGAGUAGCUCGUGCAGAUUUGGUUGUUUUAUGCAGGAAUCGAUUGUGUAGACUGGAGACCCCGGUGUAAGCUCCUGUCUGAAGGUUGUGCACGUGGGCGUCCAGUUUGCUAACGGCCACGGAUGACCACUAUAUGUAGGUAACGCUUAACAAUUCUUUGGAAAACGGUGGAAUGAUUACAUCCAAACCUCUUUGCAAUUGCAGAUAGGCCACAUCCGGCAACAACCAUUACAAUUGCCUGUAAAUGUGAUCUAUACUAAGGCGUU
RNAcentral lists this small RNA (382 nucleotides) under Spisula solidissima (Atlantic surf clam). Its description in RNAcentral is "cnRNA180". Lineage: Eukaryota; Metazoa; Mollusca; Bivalvia; Venerida; Mactridae. The record is from RNAcentral.